Oreochromis niloticus (Nile tilapia) is the source of this 390-nucleotide long non-coding RNA. RefSeq lists it as uncharacterized. The record is from RefSeq and is a predicted model, not a curated record. The transcript is spliced from 3 exons. Lineage: Eukaryota; Metazoa; Chordata; Actinopteri; Cichliformes; Cichlidae.
GGCCGAGGAGGUUCACAAAAACAUAAUUGAACUGACAUCUUUCAGCAGCCGUGGAUGUGAUCUUGCAUAACCCCCUCAGCUGGCCCACCACUGCAACGACAGAAGAGAGGGAAGGCAUGCAAAGAGAAAACGGUCAGGAGAAGAGGACACGCACGCCACCGAGACCAUUUAGUGUUUCAGCUCAUCUAAAAAUAUCAGACUAAACAUUUACAUGGUUUUUGUGGAACACUCCCCCCCAGGCUGUUUAGAUAAAGAGCUUCAGCAAACAAACUAUCCAGCCAUAGUUGUCACUUAUGGCGACAUUUUAACCCUUAAAGCUAGUGUCAUAUUUGAUACACAAGUUUUUGUGGGUUUUUGAGACUUCUACAUAAUCAGUGUGAUUUUUCUUCC